RNAcentral lists this ribosomal RNA (641 nucleotides) under uncultured bacterium. RNAcentral describes it as "bacterial SSU rRNA". It matches the Rfam family "Bacterial small subunit ribosomal RNA", at positions 202 to 842 of the family's 1533-position model. The record is from RNAcentral.
AAAGGAGAGAUCCGGCAUAGGAUGGACAUGCGUCGCAUUAGGUAGACGGCGGGGUAACGGCCCACCGUGCCGACGAUGCGUAGGGGUUCUGAGAGGAAGGUCCCCCACACUGGUACUGAGACACGGACCAGACUCCUACGGGAGGCAGCAGUGAGGAAUAUUGGUCAAUGGCCGAGAGGCUGAACCAGCCAAGUCGCGUGAGGGAAGAAUGUCCUAAGGAUUGUAAACCUCUUUUGUCGGGGAGCAAAAAGGCUCUGCGGAGUCGUAUUGAGAGUACCCGAAGAAAAAGCAUCGGCUAACUCCGUGCUAGCAGCCGCGGUAAUACGGAGGAUGCGAGCGUUAUCCGGAUUUAUUGGGUUUAAAGGGUGCGCAGGCGGCGUGUCAAGCAAGCGGUAAAAUAGCGGGGCUCAACCCCGUCGAGCCGUUUGAACUGGCGCGCUUGAGUUCAGGCGAGGUAGGCGGAAUUCGUGGUGUAGCGGUGAAAUGCAUAGAUAUCACGAAGAACUCCGAUUGCGAAGGCAGCUUACCAGUCUGCGACUGACGCUCAGGCACGAAAGUGUGGGUAUCGAACAGGAUUAGAUACCCUGGUAGUCCACACAGUAAACGAUGAGCGCUAGGUGUCCGGGUCGCAUGAGACUUGG